RNAcentral lists this ribosomal RNA (706 nucleotides) under Zygosaccharomyces rouxii. RNAcentral's name for it is "eukaryotic LSU rRNA". The stretch from base 257 to 410 matches the Rfam family "5.8S ribosomal RNA". The record is from RNAcentral. Lineage: Eukaryota; Fungi; Ascomycota; Saccharomycetes; Saccharomycetales; Saccharomycetaceae.
UCCGUAGGUGAACCUGCGGAAGGAUCAUUAUAGAAAAUGACGUGAACUCUUAACGGAGUUCUCUCAAAGUGUUGGAGGGGAAGGCCUGCGCUUAAUUGCGCGGCUGUUUUUAAUCUCCUCCGCCUUUGAUACACACAUUGGAGUUUCUACUUUUUUGUUCUCUUUGGGAGGGUUCUGCUCUCCCAGAGGUAAACACAAACAAUCUUUUAUUAUACUAUUAACACAGUCAAAUGAAUUUUAAAAACAAAAUAUUCAAAACUUUCAACAACGGAUCUCUUGGUUCUCGCAUCGAUGAAGAACGCAGCGAACUGCGAUACGUAAUGUGAAUUGCAGAAUUCCGUGAAUCAUCGAAUCUUUGAACGCACAUUGCGCCCCUUGGUAUUCCGGGGGGCAUGCCUGUUUGAGCGUCAUUUCCCUCUCAAACUUUACGUUUGGUAGUGAGCGAUACUCUACUCUGGAGUUUGCUUGAAAAUGGGAGGCCAUAGGCGAAGCAUUGCUUUCCAAUCCUGCGGCCCUCUGCUUACUUCCCCUUGUGGGUUGUGGCAGGGGAAAGCGGGAGGCGCCUUGCCACGAUAGUCGUAUUAGGUUUUACCGACUCGGCGAAAGUGAAGAGGUUUGCUUUUUAAAAAGAAGCAGGCAGCGUCUGGCUUGACAAAAUUCUCAAAGUUUGACCUCAAAUCAGGUAGGAUUACCCGCUGAACUUAAG